AGCUGCUCAGAAAAUGGAUGGAUGGGUGGAUGGAAGGACGUUGGGGUUGAUUAAUAACUCGGCUAAGUCAACUUAAAUUUAAAAAAAAGUUGACACAAAAUUUCGCUUCCGGAACCAUAACAAAAAUAUUUCCGGAUUAUCUCAUGUUUCACACGGACAUUAAUUGCAGACGGACCCACUGCCAGUGAUAAACUAAAAAAAAAACGACAGGAGCGUCUGGGCCGGAUUGACCCCCAGAUUGGCCGGUUCAGGGCCGCAGGCCUUGUGUUUGACACCUGCAGUUUAAGAGGAUUUUGCCUGAGUGGGAAGGUUAAAAGGAGCCGCAACAAAUCCAGAGAACCUUUGCCUCGACUUGGCCGUGCUGUUCUGACCCCAAUAAACAAGUCCUAUAAUUGCGUCAACCGCACCCUGAGGAAUGCCCACACUCCCAAGUGUUUGACCCCGCAUGAUACCUACAACGGCACGACUGAAAAAUUAAGAAAUAUGAUUUCGGGGUCUAUAAACGUAAACGCGUGCAUUCGGAGCUCACAAGAAAUUGGCUGUUGUAACAGGACCGUGAGCUCAAACGGAAACAAGCAAGUCAACAACAGAAGGAUUUCAGACGAAAAUGCGACCCAGGCAAAGUCCUGACCUCAACCUGAUUGAGAUGUUGUGGCAUGAACCCCAAGAGACCGAUUGACACCUGACAUCCCCAGAAUUGUGCUGAACGGCAACAGUUUUACGAAGCGGAAUGGUCGCAAAUUCGCAAGUUCACUUUCUUUCUCCUCCCUCUCCUGUAUAAACUACAUAUUUAUAUGAUAAUUCUUGUACACUAUUAGUUUAACCAGACUUUGUGUUUGUUAUAUGUGUUUAUUCUGGUGAUUUAGAUAAAGAUGAGACCACGUUUUAUGACCCAUUUAUGCAGAAAUGUAAGAAUUUCCAAAGGGGUCGCAUACUUUUCCUUCCCCGUCCGUGUGGGCUUAGUUGGCCCACGUAUAAAGCUGUCCGCUUUUAAUCCGAGCGUUAGUUUUAUCGAUCUUUGGUUUCCCGCGGCGACACGUAUUUUUCUGUGAAACUGUCCUGCCCCGACAAGGGGAGAGUUUAUCGCGGCGCUGACAGGCCGCGGUAAGGCGACACAUAACAAAUGGACUCGUGUCGUGGCUUACGUGUCUGCCUUAAAAGACAACAACAACUGCAUGAAAUAAAAUUCUGUCCGCUUUCCUGGCAGCCCGCCAUUAUCGGCGGGGCGUCCGAACCGGGCUGUGCGUGCGUGUCAGAGAACACACGUUACUGGGAAUACACACUGGGAGCGGAGCGUAGUGCAAUGGGUUCAGUAUUGCAAGAAGUGAGAGAGCUGCGUGUAAAUUCUGGAAUAAACAAGUACCGGAUCGUAAUGUAAACAACGCCGAACGCAAUGUCGUGGAGCCACCGCGUGUCAGGAUCUGCCGUGAAAGCGGUGUUUCAAAAGCAUAAAUCCAAUAAAACGGGGAGCAGAUUUUGUGCGGCACGUAAGCGGCGUAGCUGACCAAAACUGUUGUGGACACACAACAACGUGCUAGACUACAUGUGCGAAUCUGCUGUGAGGCCUACGGUAUUCUUGUCUUUUCCGAUCACUGAGCUUUAUCUUGUUAACUCAAGCGACAACAAGUGUGGAUCGUGUUCUGUGUAUUAUAAGAACAAAACGGGUUGUGGUGUUCAAAAGUGCUCUGGAGAAGACUUUAAUUCAAGGUUUGCUUCAGGUACAUUCAGAUACUUUUAAUAGGUUACGCUCGGUCAUCCGGGAGGGGCUCAGUGUCGAGCCGCCGCUCCUCCAAAUUGAGAGGAGCCAGAUGAGGUGGCUGGGGCAUCUGAUUCGGACGCCUCCCUGGUGAGGUGUUCCGGGCAUGUCCCGCCCGAAAGAGACCACGAGGGCGACCCAGGACACGCAGGAGAGACUACGUCUCUCGGCAGGCUUGGGAACGCCUCGGGAUGCCUCCGGAAGAGCUGGAAGAAGUGGCUGGGGGAAGGGAAGUCUGGGUAUCCCUGCUGAAGCUACUUCCCCUGCAAUCUAAAAUCUCUGAUUUUAUCACUCGUACAAUCGUGCUGGAGAGACUACGUCUCUCGGCUGGGUUGGGAACACCUCGGGAUCCCUCCGGAAGAGCUGGAAGAAGUGGCUGGGGGAAGGGAAGUCUGGGUAUCCCUGCUGAAGCUACUUUUCCCGUGACCCGACCUGGAAAAGCAGUACAUAAUGGAUGGAUGGCUCGCAAGCAGGCAACGAAAUGUUAUGUAGCCUUCUAAGAUAGUGCUAGCACUAAUGUAGUACCGCUGUUUUGUCGGAUUAUGCACGAAAGGUUCGGUGUGUGUGUGUGAAGUAAUUUAGGACCCAUUAAUUCUGAUUGGGUCAAGCCUGUUUGCGACUUCUGAUUUUUAGUGGCAUGAAGCAUAUACAGAACAGCCUCGGUUUUCGAUCACAAUCCGUUCCAGAAGGCGGUUCCAGGAACAAUUUAUUCGAAAACCCAAUCGGUAUUUCCCACGUCAGCGUACAGAGGCUGUGUUAUACACAAUAACAAAGCGCGUUUUGGAUCACUUGGUCGGGCCGUGUUCGUUAUGUUAUUUGUUAUUUUUCGUGGUGCGUUCGAAUUCACAAUAACAACACGCGUUGUGGGUCAGCUCAACGGCUCGUCGGCCGCCGCACCUUCCAGUCCAGGCGGCCGACAAGCCUUCGCCGCCGUUCCUAUCUCGGCGGCGGCUGGUCGGGUCGCACGUGUUAUGUUAUUUCCGAGUUUUUUCGCGGUGUGUUCGAAUUCACAAUAACAACGUGCGUCGUGGGUGAGCUGGUCUGGCCACGCGCGAUAUGUUAAGUCUGGGUUUUGUCGCGGGCAUUCGAGUACCGUUUUCGUUCAAAAACAUGCAAAAAAAAAAAUCUCAAUUUUCGUUCAGAACCCGAUUUGUUCGACAAUGGACACUUUCGAGAACCGAGUAUUCACUGGUAACUAAAAAUAACAUUUGACAUGGUUGACUUGGUUUUAUGAAGUACUUUUUUAGAUAAACAGUUGAAACACCCCUAUUUUAUGAGUGUAUGUAGGUGCUGCUAUUUUGUUAGCAACCUAGUUCCACUGUCAAAAAAAUUAAAAAUAACGCAACUCCUUUGGAGAUAACAUCGCACUGCUUAGUCACCUUUUUGCCUACAAGGUGUCAAACUGUCACUGAGGCCCAAACCUUGCCACCCCCACACCGCUUGAAAGCUUUUCUGUGUCCGUGACAGGCCCAGGAAACAAAUGACUGGCACCAAAAUAUACAAAGCGGCUUCAGUGACGCCGGCCCUUUAAGGAAAGAAGUUCCGUCCGGGCUUGUAUUUUCUGACACGUCCCGGCGUUAAACAAAUGUACCGUCGCUCAGUUCCAGCUGUCUCUUCUACGACUGGCACAGCGGGACAGAACGAGCUACAUCGUGGGCUUGUGUAAAAUGCGCUCGGAGAGAAACGCAUUCCAACAUGUCUUACGGGCCCGCCAGUGUGAAAGAAUACAUUGGUCAUCAUUACCUUCAGAUAAGAACCAUUAAACGCCACCAUGCUGGGCCAGACCCCUGCUGGUGUCAAGCUGGACUUUCCCACAGUCACUACAACUUUUGUCUUCUUUGGGGCGCUACUAGCCAGUUACAUUCACACUUCUCUGAUAACAAAUUUGCUCUUAUUAUUUGGGGGUAAAUCAUCUCAUUGUUGUUGGGCCUGCAAGCUUGUCUCCCCGCGCGCAAUAGUUUGGUCACUACACA
Syngnathoides biaculeatus (alligator pipefish) is the source of this 3729-nucleotide long non-coding RNA. RefSeq lists it as uncharacterized. Lineage: Eukaryota; Metazoa; Chordata; Actinopteri; Syngnathiformes; Syngnathidae. The record is from RefSeq and is a predicted model, not a curated record. The transcript has 3 exons.